CACAACAGAGGAGGACAGGGGGCCAGCUGUGGGCCAAGGGGACUCAAGGGAGAGGUGGCUGGGGACAGGCCUUGGUGCAGCACCUCAGCCGUUCUCUGAUGCAAAGCUGGUGGUGUGGCCAGAGCCCCAGAGGAAGUGGGGCUAGUCCUGGGGGAGUAGCCGGGACCGCUCGUGGUUUCCAGGGGCCCUUCUGGCCACGGCGCAGGAAUCAGGAACGGGAGAAGGUGCUGGGGCUGGUGUCUCAGGAGCGAGUCCGGGGCGUAUCUGGCAGGACGUGUGCUGGCAGUGGGAGCCGGGGCUGGAAGGGGCGCUGGGCCUGGAGGGGCAGACAGGGCGUGGCCAUCGUGCCCUGUCGCCCAGGGGCUGCCCAGCUCCUCACACCGCUACGCAGACCCCAUCUCCCUCCCAUGGUCCCCACACCCGCAUUCAGGGGACCCCAUUUCAGGCAUCCGGGCAGCUGGGCCAGCCCUGAGGAAGGUGCCCCCCUCCCUAACUGCACGGCCCUGCCCUCUGCCCGCUGCCCGCUGCAGGGCACCAGGGCCUGCCUGACCCCCACCAAGGUGGUAGCUUCCCAUUUUGAGCCUCAGCCUGAGCUGCAACAGGACAGAGGCCCCCGAGAGGCAGCUCUCCUGCUGGUUCACAGGGUGGCACGUCAGUGCCUGGGGCACCAAGAGCCUGUCCAGCCCAGCCAGCCAGCAGGGCCCCUCCCACCCGCUGUGGGGAUCUCAGGGCUGUCUGUGGAGGGGAGCGGGCUGCUGGCGUUGGGUGCAGCCUGGAAGCUGCUGGCAGCAGUACCGUCAAGAGGGGCAUCUGUAACCACAGCGGGCACUCUACUCAGGGCUCAGAAAACCUCGAGGUUCUUUAGACACCGAGGAGGAGGAGGAGGCGAGGUCCUCUGUCCUCAGCCUAAAGGGCGCCCGGAACACCGCUGUGGGGACGCCAGCGCCCCCGUGCCCCCAACCCAAGCACUCCCGACAUCUGUGCCUUGUGUGGAGCUGAGCACUUCCCUGGGGAUGGCCCUCCCUCCUCCCAGGCGGUGAGGGCCGCACCCACCCCCAAGGGGCCUCAUGCUCGAGGCAGGACAUAGGAGCAGGCAGCGGGGAGUCCCACAGAGCCAGGCCAACUGUCAGGACCUCCUUGUGGUCCUCAAAAACAUUUACUGGAUGGUUCUUUCCAGAGAGGGAGACCCAUGCCGACAGGGCCACGGGUCCUUGCCGGGCAGGGGUCACUUCUCCAGGGGCGCGUAGUUGAGCAGCUUCUCGAUCAGGUCCACGUGGGCCAGCAGCAUGCGGCGGCAGCAGUAGCGCUUCAGGCCCAGCGCAUCCAGGGCGUCCCUGAGGACGAGGAGAAAGCUGGCUGCAGCCCGUUCGUCCUGGCAGAUGGAGGCCCUUGCCCCGGAUGGAGCAAGUCCCGCUCAGCUGCCAUGGGCUCUGCUCCCCGUGUCGGGGAGGGAGACACCUCUCUCAUUUCCCAGAGACGCCACCCUUCACCCUCAAGGCCUCUGCAGCCUCCUCGGAACCUGGCGCAAAUACUAAGGCCAUCCAUCGCUUCCCCAUUCAUCCGACACACUUGCAGUAAGAGCGUACGCCUCCCUGGCACACCCCGGGACCCAGAGAUUCAAAUGUGAUGAGGAUGGGGCUGUGCACACAGGGGCCCAAGGUCAGACUCUAAUCCAGGGCAGAGACCCAGACAGGCACGGUGGUAACUGCAGUGCUAAGGGGUAAGUAAGCACUGAAGAGGGACCCCCACAAUAGCCUGAUGAUGAGGCCUAUGGGGUCAGGAAGCUUGUUCUAUGUCCUAAAAAAGCCAGUGAGUUUGCAGGACACGGGGGUGGGCCUAACAGCGGAGAGAAGAAGUUAGGGAGCAGGUGGACAGAGGCGGCUGAGGGCUGAUUUGCCGUGGAGGCGGCGGGACUCGCCAGGAUACCUAGGAGUCCCCAGACGGCAGCAGCUUGACGCCCGACUCCCUCCCCUCCCCAAACUAAGGGGGCGGUGGGGGACGCUUUCCUGAGAGCAGGUCCGGAGAACAGGGGUGGAAAAGACUCCGAGACUGAAAGCUCCCCCGCCCAGGGUCACCUGGAAUCUGAUGUGAGUAGCCCCCGCCCCCGCUCUGCAGACUGGGACCCCCCGACACCGGUCCGACACACCGACCCCGCGGGCCGGGACCCGUCCCCCCUGCCCCGCAGGCUGGCGGCCCGGGGAGCGCUUGCCGACCACGCUGGAGGCCCUCCCAGGCCGGCCCGGCGCCUCACCCCUCGGUGUACUCGGCCUGCAGCAGCCCCAGGUAGGCCUCCCACUUGUUGCCGACGAUCUUGCCGCACGUGAAGCAGCGCACAGGGAUGAUCAUGGCGGCACCGGAGCAGCCAGCUGCCAAAGUCCUCGAUCCUGCGGCGCUUCCGCCCUCGGCUCCGGCCCCGCCCCGGGCGCGCCCAUGGCGCGGGGGGUGCCCGGCCGUCCGCCCGCCCUGGUGCCGUUGGCGUCCGCUUCCCUCCGCGACGAGUUUCCGAGGCCCGUGCGGCCGCGGCAGGAGCAGGCGGCACCCCCCCGCCUGCCACUUUGGUACAUCCCGGCCUACGGCGUCCGGGCGGGGCCGUAAGGGCCCGGCGGCGGCGUUCGCGUUUCUCGUGUCCGCAUGACUGACAGCUGCGCGACGAGCUGACUGCCCGCAGAGCUCCGGCUUUGGCCUUGCUGACUGCUCACCUGCCGCCUGGCCGGCCUUCAGGGGUGCCAGGCACCGCCUGCCUUCUUCCCUGCCGC
Molecule: RNA transcript, 2756 nt
Organism: Mesoplodon densirostris (Blainville's beaked whale)
Lineage: Eukaryota; Metazoa; Chordata; Mammalia; Artiodactyla; Ziphiidae
Gene: TSPAN4
Gene name: tetraspanin 4
Exons: 3
Source: RefSeq, a predicted model, not a curated record